Molecule: ribosomal RNA, 496 nt
Filed under: uncultured bacterium
Lineage: Bacteria
Description: partial 16S ribosomal RNA
Rfam family: Bacterial small subunit ribosomal RNA
Source: RNAcentral
AUUGAACGCUGGCGGAAUGCUUUACACAUGCAAGUCGAACGGUAGAGGGGGCAACCCCUCGAGAGUGGCGAACGGGUGAGUAAUAUAUCGGAACGUGCCCAGUCGUGGGGGAUAACGUAGCGAAAGUUACGCUAAUACCACAUACGAUCUAAGGAUGAAAGCGGGGGAUCGCAAGACCCCGCCCGAUUGGACCGGCCGAUAUCAGAUUAGGUAGUUGGUGGGGUAAAGGCUCACCAAGCCAACGAUCUGUAGCUGGUCUGAGAGGACGACCAGCCACACUGGAACUGAGACACGGUCCAGACUCCUACGGGAGGCAGCAGUGGGGAAUUUUGGACAAUGGACGCAAGUCUGAUCCAGCCAUUCCGCGUGCAGGAUGAAGGCCCUCGGGUUGUAAACUGCUUUUGUACGGAACGAAAAGGUCUCUCUUAAUACGGGGGACUCAUGACGGUACCGUAAGAAUAAGCACCGGCUAACUACGUGCCAGCCGCCGCCGUAA